UGGGGGAUAUUGCACAAUGGGCGAAAGCCUGAUGCAGCGACGCCGCGUGGGGGAUGAAGGCCUUCGGGUUGUAAACUUCUUUUGCUCUGAACAAGGCGCACCAUGGGGUGUGUUGAGUGUAGGGGUUGAUUAGCGCCGGCUAACUACGUGCCAGCAGCCGCGGUAAUACGUAGGGCGCGAGCGUUGUCCGGAAUUAUUGGGCGUAAAGGGCUUGUAGGUGGCUGGUUGCGUCUGUCGUGAAAGCUCAUGGCUUAACUGUGGGUUUGCGGUGGGUACGGGCUGGUUUGAGUGCAGUAGGGGAGGCUGGAAUUCCUGGUGUAGCGGUGGAAUGCGCAGAUAUCAGGAGGAAUACCGGUGGCGAAGGCGGGUCUCUGGGCUGUUACUGACACUGAGGAGCGAAAGCAUGGGGAGCGAACAGG
This 419-nucleotide ribosomal RNA is filed under the name bacterium. RNAcentral's name for it is "partial 16S ribosomal RNA". It matches the Rfam family "Bacterial small subunit ribosomal RNA", at positions 355 to 776 of the family's 1533-position model. The record is from RNAcentral.